RNAcentral lists this long non-coding RNA (1013 nucleotides) under Malus domestica (apple). RNAcentral describes it as "long non-coding RNA (MDOM_LNC007580)". The record is from RNAcentral. Lineage: Eukaryota; Viridiplantae; Streptophyta; Magnoliopsida; Rosales; Rosaceae.
ACACACAUUCCCCUACAAUUCUACAAACACACAUCUCUCUCCUCUCUCUCUCUGCCGCCGGCCCUAGUCUCUCUGUCAGAUAAAUAUAGACCACAACAAAAAACUAAUUGUAGAGGCUUUGAAAUUGUUAACAAAUAAACCCCAGGACAGUUUACGUAACCCUAUAAUACGGUUAUGUAAGGUAGUUAUAACUAAUCGUUGAUAAAUUAAUCAAAGAGCUUGAAUUGCACAGUUGGUCAUGGCUGACACACAACCAGGCUCUUGAAGCCUUCCAUUUGUGAUAUUUUAAAUUCUUAAGUAUAAUUAACAUAGUUUUAUAAUAUUAUCCACAAGAAUAUGCCCUAUUGUUAAUCAACCCAGCUGCUUAGUCUGCUUUCCCAAUGAAAUAUUAUAUCAUUAAGCUUAAAAUAUCUGGAAACUGAGUGACUGCCGACCACGCCAAUGACUUUCGAACCCAAUUAAUUAUACAAUUAAAUAAUAAUUUUCUUAAUUAAUUAGCAAAGUAUUAAUCUCUGCGAUGACUGAUGAGACGCAGAGGUUGAUUUAAAAGGAAGGGAACGCCAAACAGCAUUAUUAGGCAAAUCUAUGUAUAGGGUUCAGGCACCCUAGACUCAUUUUUUCCAUCUUUGCCACCCCCAAUGGGUGCCUUGUGAGAGACAUCAUUACUCAGCACCAUGUGAGAGUAGACACAGAUGAGAGAAUACUACUGAGACGUCUUGGAAAGAAAGGCAAGUCACAGUGAAUUUGAUUAGUUAUUUAAAACACUGUGCAUGAAUAUUAACUACGCAGACUCGAUUCUCUCGAGGCACUUCUAAGCUAUACUCUGUUAGAAAAUGUUUUGGGGGAAUGUAUUGAGUCAGUCACUUGGAUCAUGGAAGACCCGUCACAUUUUAAGAAAUGAAACUUCAUUAAAAAGGAUCAAGAAUUUACAUAGGGUAUGGAUGUUAGAUGCGAACCACACAGCAUACAAAAACCACAUGGAAAAUUAUUUGAGAUCCAUAUAAGAGGGCAAA